CUACACACAUACAGCUCACACACACACAGUACACUAACCGCACCCUCACAAACACACACAGCACCUUUAAAAAAAAAUGCAACACCCUCACACACAGCACACUAACAGCACCCCCACAAACACACACACACAAACAGCAUCCUCACAAAUACACGACACUCAAACAGCACCCUCACAGGACAAACAUACACACACAAACAGCGCAGUCACAAACACACACACACACACCCUCACAUCACACUAACAGCACCCUCACAUCACACUAACAGCACCCUCACACACACAUCACACUAACAGCACAC
Non-coding RNA from Pelobates cultripes (western spadefoot toad), 302 nucleotides. NCBI's taxonomy places the organism in Eukaryota, Metazoa, Chordata, Amphibia, Anura, Pelobatidae. The record is from the annotation of a GenBank genome assembly.